Molecule: ribosomal RNA, 1050 nt
Filed under: human gut metagenome
Description: bacterial SSU rRNA
Rfam family: Bacterial small subunit ribosomal RNA
Source: RNAcentral
AUUCCGUGGUACGGGACGGGCACGCGCGACAUAGGUAGUGGCGGGGUAACGGCCCACCAAGCCGACGAUGUCUAGGGGUUCUGAGAGGAAGGUCCCCCACACUGGAACUGAGACACGGUCCAGACUCCUACGGGAGGCAGCAGUGAGGAAUAUUGGUCAAUGGGCGAGAGCCUGAACCAGCCAAGUCGCGUGAGGGAUGAAUGGUCCAUGGCCUGUAAACCUCUUUUGUCAAGGAAGAAUAAAUUGCACGUGUGCGAUCUUGCCAGUACUUGACGAAUAAGCAUCGGCUAACUCCGUGCCAGCAGCCGCGGUAAUACGGGGGAUGCGAGCGUUAUCCGGAUUUAUUGGGUUUAAAGGGCGCGUAGGCGGGACGCCAAGUCAGCGGUAAAAGACUGCAGCUAAACUGUAGCACGCCGUUGAAACUGGCGCCCUCGAGACGAGACGAGGGAGGCGGAACAAGUGAAGUAGCGGUGAAAUGCUUAGAUAUCACUUGGAACCCCGAUAGCGAAGGCAGCUUCCCAGGCUCGAUCUGACGCUGAUGCGCGAGAGCGUGGGUAGCGAACAGGAUUAGAUACCCUGGUAGUCCACGCCGUAAACGAUGCUCACUGGAUCUUGGCGAUACACUGCCAGGGUUCAAGCGAAAGUAUUAAGUGAGCCACCUGGGGAGUACGUCGGCAACGAUGAAACUCAAAGGAAUUGACGGGGGCCCGCACAAGCGGAGGAACAUGUGGUUUAAUUCGAUGAUACGCGAGGAACCUUACCCGGGUUUAAAUGUAGAUUGCAUGAGGUGGAAACACUUCUUCCCUUCGGGGCUAUUUACAAGGUGCUGCAUGGUUGUCGUCAGCUCGUGCCGUGAGGUGUCGGGUUAAGUCCCAUAACGAGCGCAACCCCUAUCGCCAGUUGCCAUCGGUUCAAGCCGGGCACUCUGUCGAGACUGCCACCGUAAGGUGCGAGGAAGGCGGGGAUGACGUCAAAUCAGCACGGCCCUUACACCCGGGGCGACACACGUGUUACAAUGGCCGGUACAGAGGGCAGCCACGGGGUGACCCG